UGGAGGGUGGGCUGAGGUUUUUAUUUAUCACACUGAAGGAUUCAUUUAUGGUCUGUUUCUUUGAUUUUAUUAUGAUUGUACCAGGGUUGUAUGUGAAACUGCUCUGCAAGCCUGUUAAAUUUGGAAUGACUUUGUCCCUCUGCCCUGCAAAGGGGGAGUAGCAGCUGCUGUCAGAAACUACUGAGACAUUAAGACAGGACUUUGUAUGUUGAAUCUGAUUUGGAUCAACUCUGUGUGGAGCAAGGCAUCCUUCUGGAAGACAGUAAACACACCUACAUUUAUCUUUCUUAUGGGGAAUCACUCCCCCCGCCCCAAACUUCUUAGAAAGCUCAAGCUGUUGUCUCCUUAUGUCCCAUGAGAUCAAGAUCUGUCAUCAACUGUGAAGCCAAUUUCCAUCCCACAUUUUAAACAAGUCAGAGAGAGUAA
Long non-coding RNA from Corvus hawaiiensis (hawaiian crow), 426 nucleotides. RefSeq lists it as uncharacterized. The record is from RefSeq and is a predicted model, not a curated record. NCBI's taxonomy places the organism in Eukaryota, Metazoa, Chordata, Aves, Passeriformes, Corvidae. The transcript is spliced from 3 exons.